Molecule: ribosomal RNA, 506 nt
Filed under: uncultured bacterium
Lineage: Bacteria
Description: partial 16S ribosomal RNA
Rfam family: Bacterial small subunit ribosomal RNA
Source: RNAcentral
AGUGAACGCUGGCGGUAGGCCUAACACAUGCAAGCCGAACGGCAGCACAGGAGAGCUUGCUCUCUGGGUGGCGAGUGGCGGACGGGUGAGGAAUACAUCGGAAUCUACUCUGUCGUGGGGGAUAGCGUAGGGAAACUUGCGCUAAUACCGCAUACGACCUACGGGUGAAAGCAGGGGAUCUUCGGACCUUGCGCGAUUGAAUGAGCCGAUGUCGGAUUAGCUAGUUGGCGGGGUAAAGGCCCACCAAGGCGACGAUCCGUAGCGGGUCUGAGAGGAUGAUCAGCCACACUGGAACUGAGACACGGUCCAGACUCCUACGGGAGGCAGCAGUGGGGAAUAUUGGACAAUGGGCGCAAGCCUGAUCCAGCCAUACCGCGUGGGUGAAGAAGGCCUUCGGGUUGUAAAGCCCUUUUGUUGGGAAAGAAAUCCAGCUGGCUAAUACCCGGUUGGGAUGACGGUACCCAAAGAAUAAGCACCGGCUAACUUCGUGCCAGCCGCCGCGGUAA